This 726-nucleotide long non-coding RNA is filed under the name Homo sapiens (human). RNAcentral describes it as "non-protein coding lnc-ZNF131-1:27". The record is from RNAcentral. Lineage: Eukaryota; Metazoa; Chordata; Mammalia; Primates; Hominidae.
ACGUUUACAGGGUGGAGGUGGAAAUUAAAUUUAGGGAGCCAUGAGGAAGACCCCCAGCCCUGUGCCUUUUGAAUUGACAACCAUGGCAUUUCAGGGCAUCAGCUCCAGGUCAGGCAUUCUCAGGCAGUUGCAUAAUUCUGCCAAUGUGGGGCCCGCCCACCUCAAAAAUCCACAUGGAUUGGAUCCAGCAAAACCAAAUAUUCAGCAAAACUUCAAGAUCUAGCAACACUGAAGGCUCAAGUACAUCACCGGUGCAUACUUGGCCCAAGGAGGCUAUUCUCUCACAAUCUCUACCCAGCUCCGGGCCUGCAGCAUCUGAGACUCACUCCUUCAAGCUGCAGGUAUCCCAGGAAAAAGAUUUAUGCAUCCUCAUAGCUUCAACAUGCAGUGUGUCAGGCACAGAAAAAUGGUUGUCUUCAGAAAGUGAUAAAAAAAACAUGCAGUAGCAAUCACCCUUUGGACUUUGAAACUUUUCUGUCACCUUAGAUGUCAGAAACUAAAACCCAGAAACUUGGUGUUGGCAUUAAUUUGGUCUAGCUAUGAAGACUUUUUUUUUUUUUUUUUCACACAGUGACAGUUCUGAAUUUGAAUAUAAAGGAGCUUAGGUGCUAUAAUCUGAAUGGAACGUGGGAAUAAAACUGUCUUUGCCUUGUACUUCUUGUUAGAUUAAUUAAAUACCAAUUAUCAGUAUAAGAAAAUGGCAAUAAAUUGUCAAAGUGGAAUUGG